Molecule: ribosomal RNA, 1532 nt
Filed under: Phocaeicola vulgatus
Lineage: Bacteria; Pseudomonadati; Bacteroidota; Bacteroidia; Bacteroidales; Bacteroidaceae
Description: bacterial SSU rRNA
Rfam family: Bacterial small subunit ribosomal RNA
Source: RNAcentral
UUACAAUGAAGAGUUUGAUCCUGGCUCAGGAUGAACGCUAGCUACAGGCUUAACACAUGCAAGUCGAGGGGCAGCAUGGUCUUAGCUUGCUAAGGCCGAUGGCGACCGGCGCACGGGUGAGUAACACGUAUCCAACCUGCCGUCUACUCUUGGACAGCCUUCUGAAAGGAAGAUUAAUACAAGAUGGCAUCAUGAGUCCGCAUGUUCACAUGAUUAAAGGUAUUCCGGUAGACGAUGGGGAUGCGUUCCAUUAGAUAGUAGGCGGGGUAACGGCCCACCUAGUCUUCGAUGGAUAGGGGUUCUGAGAGGAAGGUCCCCCACAUUGGAACUGAGACACGGUCCAAACUCCUACGGGAGGCAGCAGUGAGGAAUAUUGGUCAAUGGGCGAGAGCCUGAACCAGCCAAGUAGCGUGAAGGAUGACUGCCCUAUGGGUUGUAAACUUCUUUUAUAAAGGAAUAAAGUCGGGUAUGCAUACCCGUUUGCAUGUACUUUAUGAAUAAGGAUCGGCUAACUCCGUGCCAGCAGCCGCGGUAAUACGGAGGAUCCGAGCGUUAUCCGGAUUUAUUGGGUUUAAAGGGAGCGUAGAUGGAUGUUUAAGUCAGUUGUGAAAGUUUGCGGCUCAACCGUAAAAUUGCAGUUGAUACUGGAUAUCUUGAGUGCAGUUGAGGCAGGCGGAAUUCGUGGUGUAGCGGUGAAAUGCUUAGAUAUCACGAAGAACUCCGAUUGCGAAGGCAGCCUGCUAAGCUGCAACUGACAUUGAGGCUCGAAAGUGUGGGUAUCAAACAGGAUUAGAUACCCUGGUAGUCCACACGGUAAACGAUGAAUACUCGCUGUUUGCGAUAUACAGCAAGCGGCCAAGCGAAAGCGUUAAGUAUUCCACCUGGGGAGUACGCCGGCAACGGUGAAACUCAAAGGAAUUGACGGGGGCCCGCACAAGCGGAGGAACAUGUGGUUUAAUUCGAUGAUACGCGAGGAACCUUACCCGGGCUUAAAUUGCAGAUGAAUUACGGUGAAAGCCGUAAGCCGCAAGGCAUCUGUGAAGGUGCUGCAUGGUUGUCGUCAGCUCGUGCCGUGAGGUGUCGGCUUAAGUGCCAUAACGAGCGCAACCCUUGUUGUCAGUUACUAACAGGUUCCGCUGAGGACUCUGACAAGACUGCCAUCGUAAGAUGUGAGGAAGGUGGGGAUGACGUCAAAUCAGCACGGCCCUUACGUCCGGGGCUACACACGUGUUACAAUGGGGGGUACAGAGGGCCGCUACCACGCGAGUGGAUGCCAAUCCCCAAAACCUCUCUCAGUUCGGACUGGAGUCUGCAACCCGACUCCACGAAGCUGGAUUCGCUAGUAAUCGCGCAUCAGCCACGGCGCGGUGAAUACGUUCCCGGGCCUUGUACACACCGCCCGUCAAGCCAUGGGAGCCGGGGGUACCUGAAGUGCGUAACCGCGAGGAGCGCCCUAGGGUAAAACUGGUGACUGGGGCUAAGUCGUAACAAGGUAGCCGUACCGGAAGGUGCGGCUGGAACACCUCCUUUCU